CGGGAGUAACGCGUGGAUAACCUGCCUCACACUGGGGGAUAACAGUUAGAAAUGACUGCUAAUACCGCAUAAGCGCACAGUACCGCAUGGUACAGUGUGAAAAACUCCGGUGGUGUGAGAUGGAUCCGCGUCUGAUUAGCCAGUUGGCGGGGUAACGGCCCACCAAAGCGACGAUCAGUAGCCGACCUGAGAGGGUGACCGGCCACAUUGGGACUGAGACACGGCCCAA
This 229-nucleotide ribosomal RNA is filed under the name uncultured bacterium. RNAcentral's name for it is "partial 16S ribosomal RNA". It matches the Rfam family "Bacterial small subunit ribosomal RNA", at positions 106 to 334 of the family's 1533-position model. The record is from RNAcentral.